Molecule: ribosomal RNA, 474 nt
Filed under: uncultured bacterium
Lineage: Bacteria
Description: partial 16S ribosomal RNA
Rfam family: Bacterial small subunit ribosomal RNA
Source: RNAcentral
GACGAACGCUGGCGGCGUGCUUAACACAUGCAAGUCGAACGGUAAGGCCCUUCGGGGUACACGAGUGGCGGACGGGUGAGUAACACGUGGGUGAUCUGCCCUGCACUUCGGGAUAAGCCUGGGAAACUGGGUCUAAUACCGGAUAGGACUCCGGACUGCAUGGUCUGGGGUGGAAAGCUUUUGCGGUGUGGGAUGGGCCCGCGGCCUAUCAGCUUGUUGGUGGGGUGAUGGCCUACCAAGGCGACGACGGGUAGCUGGUCUGAGAGGACGAUCAGCCGGAUUGGGACUGAGAUACGGCCCAGACUCCUACGGGGGGCAGCAAUUAGGAAUCUUGCGCAAUGGGCGAAAGCCUGACGCAGCGACGCCGCGUGGAGGAUGAAGGAUCUCGGUCUGUAAACUCCUUUUAAGUGGGAAGAAUUUUGACGGUACCACUUGAAUAAGCCCCGGCUAACUACGUGCCAGCAGCCGCCGUAA